This 322-nucleotide ribosomal RNA is filed under the name uncultured soil bacterium. Its description in RNAcentral is "bacterial SSU rRNA". It matches the Rfam family "Bacterial small subunit ribosomal RNA", at positions 26 to 375 of the family's 1533-position model. The record is from RNAcentral.
AGAACGAACGCUGGCGGCAUGCCUAAUACAUGCAAGUCGAACGAACUCUUCGGAGUUAGUGGCGCACGGGUGCGUAACGCGUGGGAAUCUGCCCCUUGGUUCGGAAUAACAGUUGGAAACGACUGCUAAUACCGGAUGAUGACGAAAGUCCAAAGAUUUAUCGCCAAGGGAUGAGCCCGCGUAGGAUUAGCUAGUUGGUGAGGUAAAGGCUCACCAAGGCAACGAUCCUUAGCUGGUCUGAGAGGAUGAUCAGCCACACUGGGACUGGAGACACGGCCCAGACUCCUACGGGGAGCAGCAGUAGGGAAUAUUGGACAAUGGG